Molecule: long non-coding RNA, 3320 nt
Filed under: Callithrix jacchus (white-tufted-ear marmoset)
Lineage: Eukaryota; Metazoa; Chordata; Mammalia; Primates; Cebidae
Description: lncRNA (ENSCJAG00000073602.1)
Source: RNAcentral
GUUUGAAGAGGUUUUUUGUGUUUAUGGUAAAACUACCAGCAAGUGGCAGAAUUAAAAGAGUGUAUCACUGGUAAAAGGCAUAGGGGAUUCCCUAGAACUUGAAACAAAGGAGUUUGAUGAAUGGCUCUCUUUGUUGUCUAGACCUGAGGGAGGGACAAGACAGUGGACUUUAAAGAACAGCUGCACCAUAGGGCUGUGACUGUCAUCCACACACUCAGAUAAAUGGUUGGCUCAUUAUUGCAGCUGCUGCGGGCUUUAGAGAGCUGGACAGCUGUUGCCAGGAGAUGCAGUCAAACAGAACAGAGGAAAUGGAAUCCUGUGAUAAUGACUGUGCCUCUUCCUGGUCCUUCUCUGCCUUUCCCCGUGGUCCAUCUGCACUUUGCCUUCUCCCUCUCCCUGGAAGACAGGCUGCUCAUCCGAUUGUGGUGCCUCCGCUGGUGUACGUUUUCUGCCUAGGGUGAGUGGUGCCAUCCCACUUCCUUUCCAAAUCCUAAUUGCUUUUUCUGAUCUCUCUGACUCCCAGUCAACCCUUUGAUGGUCUCUGUUGUGCUUGUAGUUGGUGCUACACAGACCAACACAGGAUUUUCCUCCUAUAGGAAAGAAAGUCCCCUCAAUUAGACUAGAAGCAGGAAUGGGAAGGGACCUGCCUUUCUGCUGAUUACCCUUAGUUGCCCAGCACUGGCUCUGUGUGUGUAUUCAGCACCCACUUGGCUGAGAAUAUUUCUUUCUCACUCUUUUAAAAUAACUUUUCUGAUUUAAAUUAUUCUGUUUUACGUUGGGUAUAAUUUUCAAAUAGUUAUGAACUUACAUUGAGCACUUUUCAUGCAUUUUGAUUAGUACUUUAUCUCACAGCUUAAAAGACAGCACAAGGAGGUAGAGACUGAUACUACACAUGUUUUACAGUAGAAGAACCUGAGGCUUAGAGAGGUAAGAUAACUUGCUGCAGGUCACACGCUGGAGGUCGAAACACCUUACCCAGCUGCUACAGUGCUUUGCAUAAACCAAGUUAAGAGUUCUAGUAUAAUGAAUGCCCCAAAUGCAUUGGUGGGCUGGCAUUUGGGAAACAGUGUUCCUUUUCAAAGGCUGGGCUCUUAACACCAUAUCCUGGGCCUCACAUGGGAAUGGAUAUGGUCCAACCCAGGGUUUGGUCCUCCUUAGGUAUUGAAGUAGAAAGCAUUACACUGCCGGUGACACCACCUUGGGGAGUUCCAAACUCCAGUCCUUGCAGCUCUGUAUACUGAUUAUUUGAUCUCAGAGUGUCUAGGAAACAAGGUUGAAACUCAGGUUUUCUCAGGAGAUGUCUGUUUCCUGAAAAGCUACCUAGGGGAAUCUUACAGCUGUGGGCAUCACCUUGGAGGCAAAUCCGUGUUGGUGAAAGUGAUCGCCCUUUUUCCUAAUUGAACCAAUUAUGGCUGAACAAUGAGGUAACCCAAUGAACUCUCUUGGGAAGACUUGGCCAGAGUAUGAACUGGCUCAGCUUGUUUUCAGACGACGUCUUUGCUGAAAAUACAUUCUGGCUGCAGCUGUUUUUUAGAGACUUAAGUGAUCACAUUACAUCCCAAUCAAAUCCUUUGGCAGUCAGUAUUCUCCAGGUGGCUCAGGGCAACCUGCACAAAGCAGGCUGAAUAUGUGGUUCAGAGCCAGCAUUACCUUUAUCUACAGCAACCAGUCCUGCCAUGCAGGAUGGAGGAGGUAGCUAGUAUCUACCUCUUUGGCCUGAUUACCAUUUUCUGCUCCCCCCAGUGCCCUGUGCUAAACUUCUUCCCACUCAACUCCUCUCAUAGGCAGCCUGCUGGAUGGCUUCACCCUCCUUUUUUAUUUAUAUGGAGGCUCACUCUGUUGCCCAGGCUGGAGUACAGUGACACAAUCUUGGCUCACUGAAACCUCUGCCUCCCAAGUUCAAGCAAUUCUCGUGUCUCAGUCUCUUGAGUAGCUGGGACUACAGGCAUGCGCCGCCGCUGCCACCUGGCUAAUUUUUGCAUUUUUAGUGGAGACAGGGUUUUACCAAAUUGGCCAGCCUGGUCUCAAACCCCUGACCUCAGGUGAUCUGCCCUCCUCGGCCUCCCAAAGUGCUCGGAUUAUAGGCAUGAGCCACCGUGCCCAGCCGGCUUCUCCGUCCUUAAAACUGAUGUAUCUCUUCCCCACUCUUAUCUCCUAAGAUACUGAGCCUUAAAAUAGCUAGCCAAACAAAAACACCAACGAAGACUCUUUGGAAGGGACUAUGCUCAGUCUGAGGAGGACCCAGAAGCAAAAGUCACAGAUGUGACCUCAAAAGUCAGUAUUGUGCUCCCCCACAUGGCGUCCACUGGCCACGUGUGAUGAUUAAACAUGUGAAAAGCAGUCUCAAGGCUGAGAUGUGAUGCAAGUGUAUAAUACACACUAGAUUUCAAAUACUUAGUAGGAAUAAAAAAUUUAAAGUAUCACUAAAAGAUUUAAAAAUACAUUAGAAAGGAAAAAAUUUCAACAAAAUAAAAAGGAAGGCAACAAAAAAAGAAAAAAGUCUCACUCAUGAUUUUUAUAUUGACUACAUGUUAAAAUAACAUUUGAAAGUAUUGAGUUAAAUCAAAUAUACUGUGAAAUUAAUUUCACCUGCUUAUUUUUAUUUUUUUUAAGUGUGGCUUAUAGAAGAGUGAAGAUACUAUAUAUGGUUGGCACUAUAUUUCUGUUGCACAAUGGUGGCGGAUAAACAUUAAAUGAAGAGAAGGAUGAUGCUAUAAAGUAUUAUAAAGACACUGAAAAUGUGCUGUGGGAGGAGAAAGAAGGGAGAAAUAAAUUUCAUUUGGGAGACCCUGAAAAAAUUCCUGGAAAAAAUGGCAUCAAACUGGGUCUUGACAUAGGAUUGUAGAGGAAAGGCCUGGAGGCCUUUUAUUCAGAUGGAGGAUGGGGAUUUUGACCAAAACAGAUUCUGUGGUGCUGGUAUCUGCCAGUUGGAUUUGGUUUCCCAAUCCAACUGCCCAUUAUUAUUACCUGCUGUAGAUUCCUGAGUUUGUCUCAGACACCAGGAGCCAAGAUUCACUGGCGUGAGGCCCAGACAUCCUUGUCCAGAGUUUUUGAAGUCAUUGUCUUGUAGUUCAUUUGAUCCCAGUCUGCGAAACUGUGUUUGGAAAUGCUGGGUGCAAAUGGUCAUCUUUGAGCCUUGAGAGGCCAGCCUCAGUGGGCUUUCCAUAAUCCACGGCUAGAGGUAGCCAUGGUACCUUCUGUUUUUGUAUGUUCUUUGGGGAGAAGCCCUGAGCAGGAAGCACCUGAAAUGCAGAGCUUGGAAGAAAACAGCUCAUGCCAUGGGCUCCUGAGUGGGUCAGCCAUUUUCCCCUGUGGAGGCA